This 497-nucleotide ribosomal RNA is filed under the name uncultured archaeon. RNAcentral's name for it is "bacterial SSU rRNA". It matches the Rfam family "Archaeal small subunit ribosomal RNA", at positions 1 to 473 of the family's 1478-position model. The record is from RNAcentral.
UCUUGGUUGAUCCUGCCGGACCCUACUGCUAUCGGGNGUGGGACUAAGACAUGCGAGUCGAGCGUCUCUAGCUAUGGUGAGACGCGGCAGACGGCUCAGUAACACGUGGCUAACCUACCCUCAGGACAGGGACAAACCCGGGAAACUGGGGCUAAUACCCGAUAGGCGAGGGCGCCUGGAAUGGUUCUUCACCCAAAGGGCUUUGGAAGCAUGCUUUUCAAAGUCGCCUGAGGAUGGGGCCGCGUCCGAUCAGGUUGUUGGUGAGGUAAUGGCUCACCAAGCCUAUAACCGGUACGGGCCGUGAGAGCGGUAGCCCGGAGAUGGGCACUGAGACAAGGGCCCAGGCCCUACGGGGCGCAGCAGUCGCGAAAACUCCGCAAUGCACGAAAGUGUGACGGGGCUACCCCGAGUGCCGUCCGCUGAGGAUGGCUUUUCCUCUGUGUAACUAGCCGGGGGGAAUAAGGAGAGGGCAAGACUGGUGUCAGCCGGCGCGGUAA